Molecule: ribosomal RNA, 254 nt
Filed under: uncultured bacterium
Lineage: Bacteria
Description: partial 16S ribosomal RNA
Rfam family: Bacterial small subunit ribosomal RNA
Source: RNAcentral
GAUCCUGGCUCAGAUUGAACGCUGGCGGCAGGCCUAACACAUGCAAGUCGAACGGUAACAGGAAGAAGCUUGCUUCUUUGCUGACGAGUGGCGGACGGGUGAGUAAUGUCUGGGAAACUGCCUGAUGGAGGGGGGAUAACUACUGGAAACGGUAGCUAAUACCGCAUAACGUCGCAAGACCAAAGAGGGGGGACCUUCGGGCCUCUUGCCAUCGGAUGUGCCCAGAUGGAAUUAGCUAGUAGGUGGGGUAACGG